Molecule: long non-coding RNA, 788 nt
Organism: Candoia aspera
Lineage: Eukaryota; Metazoa; Chordata; Lepidosauria; Squamata; Candoiidae
Exons: 2
Source: RefSeq, a predicted model, not a curated record
CUACGCUGCAUCCCGCCCGCAGGGACCGCGCUCUCGUUGGCUGUUUCGACUUGGCCCUGCUUUCCUCCUUCCGGACCAGGAUCCUCGGACUUACAAACCGUGAUCCCGACUCCUCUUUUAGCGCUUUCCUUCACCCCUUUAUUGGGUUUGGAUUUUCCCGUACGCCCCCUCGCUUUUUUAACCGUUUGCCAGUUCCUAAUUUUUUUCCAUUUUGAGGUUCUUUCAUUCCCGAUUGCUUUAAGCCCUCUUUUUCACUUUAAUAAGUAACAUCUCUCCCCUCCGCCCCCCAAAUUCAAAUAGAAAGUAUGUUGGGUUGGUGGGAAGGGACCCUACACAGACAGGGAAAUCGGGUGGGCCGGCGAUAAAGCCCUCUUGACCUGGGAGAGAGUUGAGGCCCGUUUCUAAUAAUAAUAUGACGGAAGUGGCGUCAGGGUUUUUUCAGGUAAAAAUUCCAUUAAGCUUCCAGCAUGGUGUAUUAGUUUUACACCGGAAGACAGCGUCAACUUUUUGUUACGAUAAGGUAUUAAGGUUAAUGUUCGUGAAGAAAUGGAAGAGUUUUUUCCAAGAAUGUGGAAGAUAAAUCAAGAUAAAAGAAGGCUAAUGAAAAGUGUUAAAGAUCAGAAAAUUAAAAUUGAAUGGGGGAAAAAAUUGAACAGAAGAUUGGUCAGAUAGAAGCACUUGAAUAUUUUUAAGGCUAUAAUGAAUUGUUUGAAUUGGGGAAGAAUACACGAAGUAUGAAAAAUGAAAAACUCAAUGAAGAAUGAAGAAAAGUAGAAAGCAAGAGUGAA